CCACUAGGCAAUAACAAAGUGGUUAGUGCCGUUUUGAACACGUUGUCUUCUUCUCGCAAUUCUUAUUUGCUUUUGGUCCAGGCAUGAAUAAAUGCGCCAAUGGAGUAUCACGAUACUUAUGUGUCCUUCGUCUUCUCUGUAGUUGAGAAGGUUUUCAAUUCUACUUGUGGCGGAUUCAAUUCUGUUUUCCAAUUUGCUGUUACAAUAUCCGGCGUGGCUGUUUUGGCCAUGAUCGACGAGAAGACAACCAAUAUUGUUGGGUUGAAUGCAGAAUCAAGUAUUUUUGGUGGUUAUCUUACGUACAUAAUAACUUUCUGGUGUUUGAAACAAAUCUUAACAUAUUUGUUAAGGAAACAACGUGCACUAAAAACCACCAUGGAUUCAACAAGGGGAAGAGGAGUUCGAGAUCAAAAGAAGAAGUCUUCUUUCAAUCAAGGAAGAAUGUUUCGAAUUUACGUUUUGAUACAUAUAUUUGGAAUCAAAACAUAUCGCUAAAAUCAUGGAAUACAUCAAAGAGAAACACAACAAUACAAGUGGAAGAGAUUUUAAACCAAAGAAUAUAAAUGGAUCUAAAUUGGAAUAACACCAGUGUAAUAAACCCAAAGAGAAGGAUGCUUUACAAUGCAAGUAAGAUUUACAAAUUGCAAGAAAAUUAAUAGAGUUGACACUCUAUUAACAGUGGCCCCUCAAAGGAAAUACUCUUCUCAACUUAUUUUAUUUGAUCUAUUAUUUUUCUCAUCAUUUUAAAUUAUGACAUGUGUUGUUCUUUCGUUAUCAUGUAUAUUAGUUUUAAUUUUAUUGAAAAUUGUGUGACCA
Molecule: long non-coding RNA, 816 nt
Organism: Brassica napus (rape)
Lineage: Eukaryota; Viridiplantae; Streptophyta; Magnoliopsida; Brassicales; Brassicaceae
Exons: 2
Source: RefSeq, a predicted model, not a curated record